GACGUAGGGCGCGAGCGUUGUCCGGAUUUAUUGGGCGUAAAGAGCUCGUAGGCGGCUUGUCGCGUCAACUGUGAAAACCCGGGGCUCAACCCCGGGCCUGCAUUCGAUACGGGCAGACUAGAGUUCGGUAGGGGAGUCUGGAAUUCCAGGUGUAGCGGUGAAAUGCGUAGAUAUCUGGAGGAAUACCGGUGGCGAAGGCGGCAUCCUGGACCGACAUUGACGCUGAGGAGCGAAAGCCAGGGGAGCAAAGCGGG
RNAcentral lists this ribosomal RNA (254 nucleotides) under uncultured bacterium. Its description in RNAcentral is "partial 16S ribosomal RNA". It matches the Rfam family "Bacterial small subunit ribosomal RNA", at positions 524 to 777 of the family's 1533-position model. The record is from RNAcentral.